RNAcentral lists this transfer RNA (77 nucleotides) under Opitutaceae bacterium. RNAcentral's name for it is "tRNA-Met". It matches the Rfam family "tRNA". Rfam says of the family: Transfer RNA (tRNA) molecules are approximately 80 nucleotides in length. Their secondary structure includes four short double-helical elements and three loops (D, anti-codon, and T loops). Lineage: Bacteria; Pseudomonadati; Verrucomicrobiota; Opitutia; Opitutales; Opitutaceae. The record is from RNAcentral.
GGCUCGAUGGCGCAGCAGUCCAGCGCAGCUCCCUCAUAAGGAGAAGGCCGCGGGUGCGAAUCCCGCUCGAGCCCCCA